CAGCAGCCGCGGGAAUACGUAGGUGGCAAGCGUUGUCCGGAAUUAUUGGGCGUAAAGGGCUCGCAGGCGGUUUCUUAAGUCUGAUGUGAAGGCCCCCGGCUCAACCGGGGAGGGUCAUUGGAAACUGGGAAACUUGAGUGCAGAAGAGGAGAGUGGAAUUCCACGUGUAGCGGUGAAAUGCGUAGAGAUGUGGAGGAACACCAGUGGCGAAGGCGACUCUCUGGUCUGUAACUGACGCUGAGGAGCGAAAGCGUGGGGAGCGAACAGGAUUAGAUACCCCAGUAGUCCCUGUCUCUUAUAC
Molecule: ribosomal RNA, 301 nt
Filed under: uncultured bacterium
Lineage: Bacteria
Description: partial 16S ribosomal RNA
Rfam family: Bacterial small subunit ribosomal RNA
Source: RNAcentral